Molecule: ribosomal RNA, 449 nt
Filed under: uncultured bacterium
Lineage: Bacteria
Description: bacterial SSU rRNA
Rfam family: Bacterial small subunit ribosomal RNA
Source: RNAcentral
AGCGAACGCUGGCGGCAGGCCUAACACAUGCAAGUCGAACGAACUCUUCGGAGUUAGUGGCGGACGGGUGAGUAACACGUGGGAACGUGCCUUUAGGUUCGGAAUAACUCAGGGAAACUUGUGCUAAUACCGAAUGUGCCCUUCGGGGAAAGAUUUAUCGCCUUUAGAGCGGCCCGCGUCUGAUUAGCUAGUUGGUGAGGUAAAGGCUCACCAAGGCGACGAUCAGUAGCUGGUCUGAGAGGAUGAUCAGCCACAUUGGGACUGAGACACGGCCCAAACUCCUACGGGAGGCAGCAGUGGGGAAUCUUGCGCAAUGGGCGGAAGCCUGACGCAGCCAUGCCGCGUGAAUGAUGAAGGUCUUAGGAUUGUAAAAUUCUUUCACCGGGGACGAUAAUGACGGUACCCGGAGAAGAAGCCCCGGCUAACUUCGUGCCAGCAGCCGCGGUAAU